This is a long non-coding RNA of Equus caballus (horse), 2163 nucleotides long. Lineage: Eukaryota; Metazoa; Chordata; Mammalia; Perissodactyla; Equidae. The record is from Ensembl.
GAUUGAUGGAGAGAUGCCACGAGAGGGACAAGGCCCAGGGUUUGAGCAGAGGAAGAGUGUGAGAAGGAUCACUCGGUCGUCUUGUGGAGCCUGUCUCACCUCAAGCAUUUAUGCGGUCAACAUGUCGUCAGAACUCGAUCACAUGUUUGUCAGGUUUGCAUGUCUGUGGGCACCAAGUUUACCAUGUGCUGGGUGCUGGGGAACCACAGUGUCCAGCCCACGGGGAAUCUGCAUUCCAGCCCAAGAUGGGACAGAGACUCGCCCGCAAGGAGGAGACAGAGACACGGCCCCAUCAUGAGCCACUGAUGCAAACCCGCGGCCUGGAGCCGCACAUGGACAUGCGUGGGGGCCUGCAGGUCACAGGAGGGGCCCGCAGUGCUCAGCCAGACUGGCGCUGACAAACAGCAGCUCACGGCGCGCUGGAAGACGCCAGGGUUUCAGGCUGGCUCCCGGGAGGUGCUGGUGGCCAGCAGGCUCUGUGCUGAGAAGUGCUGGGAGGCUCGGAGGAAAGCGUGCUGUCGUGGAUCUGUGACGCGGCCUCUGGCACGGCGGCGGAGAGGGAAGAGGCAGGAUUCGCCCCCUCUGGAGUGGCCUCUGGGUUCUCUGAGCUCUGACAGAGCUGCUUCCUCUUGCCUUCCCCUUGAGGCCAGCAUGCGUCAGUCUGUGUCUGCGAUGCCAGUGUCCGGGAGUGGAUGGGGAGGCUCUCUGGCUCCCCCUCACUGCACACAUAUGGGGCAGGGACUGGUGCCUGUGGAGGGGGCCUGGGGCCUGGCAGCACCUUAUUUCAGCCUGCCUCCCUGCUCUGCCCAGGUGGGGUACCUGUAGAAAGAGAACGCUGGCCUGUACCUGCCUGGACACCUUGCCCGGCCUGUGGCAGGUGAUCAGUGGUGCUGGGUGGCAGGAAGCCAAGGCAAUUGCUGGGCUCCUGGUGAGUUUCAGGCCAGGCCGUUUUCAGAGAACCUCUGUCUUUGCUGGUUUUGUCAUGGGUGGGGCCCCUCUCUGUGGGGCUGCGGUAGGUACAACAUCCACGAGGAGGGGACAGGCAUAAGCUCCGGGUGUCACAUCAUCUUUGACUUUGGAGCCAUAGAGCGUCUGGUCUGGGAGCCCCUGGAGGUCAUCUUGUCUUCCUUGCUGGGGUGUCCCUGGGCAGACACACAGACAGGGUCCAAAAGGGGUGGGGUCCAUCACGCUGGGGCUCCUGCCCUGGCCUGAGCAUGCCUGGCCAUCCAGGCCCCUGCCCCUUGGUGCUGCAGGGCCUGGGAGAGGCUCCUGGGCACCGUGGUGACCUUGACGCCCGACUUGCCCCUCGAGUUCCUCCUGCCGGUAGCCUGGCAGCUGCCAGUGCCGCACGGUUUGUGAAAUGUCAGUGCUUUAAUAUCAAUUCUGGAGGUUUUAUUGCCUUCCCCCCCAUUUUCCGAUGGGAUUUUGAUCCAAUCAAGACCGAUCCACAGCGACGGCAGAUUUGUGUUCCCGUCCGAAGUUGACAAAGGUCACCCUGCCUGGGGAGCGGGGCCGCUGUGGCUGCGCAGUGCGUGACUGCUCUCCCGCCCUGGCUCCAGGUCGGCUGCGCUUUCCCCCAGGAGAGCGGUGUCCGUGGGUGCGGCCGGCGCUGCUCCUCCUGGGCCUGUCACUGGGCCAAGGGCCCUGGGGCUUUAGGCUCGGGCAGUCGCCAGCCACAGAAUACCCUGGUUUUGUCUGCAAAACGUCUUUGAUGCUUCAGACUCAAAUUAAUUUUUCAUAGUAAUGUUUCAAAAUGUCAUUUUUCCCUUUAAAAAAAAAGCCGUUGAAUGAGACUCUCUGUUUGGGAGGAGGCCAGAGGUCAGGAGAGUCACAUUGGGCCACGCCAGCCUGUGCCCUAUCCUCCUGUCUCUGGCUCAGCUCCCUGCCUUCCCCAGAGGGUGGAACACCCUCUAGGAGGAACUCGAAAGGGGCAGGAACACCUGCUUGUCCAGGUGGGGGCUGGCAAGGGUGGAGAGUGGGUGCAAGAAUUUUGGUCAAGUUUUGAUCUUGCCCCAUGGCACUUUACAGACAUGAUAUUCCGAGACCCAACCCAGCUUGGCAAGCCUUUAGAGAGUGCCUGCGGUGUGUGUGGCACCCGAGAGGGUGGAGGGGAGAGGCAAGCCUAGACAGAGAGGACAGGUACUGGUGGGCCGGGUGUGUGGA